UCCUGUAUUGAAGUGAUUAUGCUGUGUCUGUUUCCAGGUCAUUGAUAAUGCAGGAAAAUCAACAUGAAAUUUUUCUUGUAUUGGGAGGACUUUGUGUUCUUUUCAAACGCCGGUGCUCUGAGACA
This 125-nucleotide small nucleolar RNA is filed under the name Amphilophus citrinellus (Midas cichlid). RNAcentral describes it as "Small nucleolar RNA SNORA71 (ENSACIG00000017126.1)". Lineage: Eukaryota; Metazoa; Chordata; Actinopteri; Cichliformes; Cichlidae. The record is from RNAcentral.